CUGGCCCUCUCUGCCCUA
Molecule: microRNA, 18 nt
Filed under: Rattus norvegicus (Norway rat)
Lineage: Eukaryota; Metazoa; Chordata; Mammalia; Rodentia; Muridae
Description: rno-miR-328b-3p
Gene: rno-miR-328b-3p
Source: miRBase by way of RNAcentral